GACGAACGCUGGCGGCGUGCUUAACACAUGCAAGUCGAACGGAAAGGCCCUGCUGUUGUGGGGUGCUCGAGGGGCGAACGGGUGAGUAACACGUGAGUAACCUGCCCUUCACUUUGGGAUAACUUCAAGAAACUGGGGCUAAUACCGGAUAGGAGCUCCUGCUGCAGGGUGGGGGUUGGAAAGUUUCGGCGGUUGGGGAUGGACUCGCGGCUUAUCAGCUUGUUGGUGGGGUAGUGGCUUACCAAGGCUUUGACGGGUAGCCGGCCUGAGAGGGUGACCGGCCACAUUGGGACUGAGAUACGGCCCAGCCUCCUACGGGAGGCAGCAGUGGGGAAUAUUGCACAAUGGGCGGAAGCCUGAUGCAGCAACGCCGCGUGCGGGAUGACGGCCUUCGGGUUGUAACCCGCUUUCGCAUGUGACGAAGCGUGAGUGACGGUAAUGGGUAAAGAAGCACCGGCUAACUACGUG
This 468-nucleotide ribosomal RNA is filed under the name uncultured bacterium. RNAcentral's name for it is "partial 16S ribosomal RNA". It matches the Rfam family "Bacterial small subunit ribosomal RNA", at positions 28 to 507 of the family's 1533-position model. The record is from RNAcentral.